AUGCACGCUGGCGGCGUGCCUAAUCCAUGCAAGUCGAGCGCACAGACGAGGAGCUUGCUCCUCUGACGUUAGCGGCGGACGGGUGAGUAACACGUGGAUAACCUACCUAUAAGACUGGGAUAACUUCGGGAAACCGGAGCUAAUACCGGAUAAUAUAUUGAACCGCAUGGUUCAAUAGUGAAAGACGGUUUUGCUGUCACUUAUAGAUGGAUCCGCGCCGCAUUAGCUAGUUGGUAAGGUAACGGCUUACCAAGGCAACGAUGCGUAGCCGACCUGAGAGGGUGAUCGGCCACACUGGAACUGAGACACGGUCCAGACUCCUACGGGAGGCAGCAGUAGGGAAUCUUCCGCAAUGGGCGAAAGCCUGACGGAGCAACGCCGCGUGAGUGAUGAAGGUCUUCGGAUCGUAAAACUCUGUUAUUAGGGAAGAACAAAUGUGUAAGUAACUAUGCACGUCUUGACGGUACCUAAUCAGAAAGCCACGGCUAACUACGUG
This 496-nucleotide ribosomal RNA is filed under the name uncultured bacterium. RNAcentral's name for it is "partial 16S ribosomal RNA". It matches the Rfam family "Bacterial small subunit ribosomal RNA", at positions 29 to 507 of the family's 1533-position model. The record is from RNAcentral.